CUUCUGUCAUUAGAGAACAAUUUGCACGGGAGUAACUGCCCGGGCAUUGAUAGUACCUGAAGAGGAAGAGACGGCUAACUCUGUGC
RNAcentral lists this ribosomal RNA (86 nucleotides) under uncultured bacterium. RNAcentral describes it as "partial 16S ribosomal RNA". The record is from RNAcentral.